UACGAAGGGGGCUAGCGUUGCUCGGAAUUACUGGGCGUAAAGCGCACGUAGGCGGCUCUUUAAGUCGGAGGUGAAAUCCUGGAGCUCAACUCCAGAACUGCCUUCGAUACUGAAGAGCUCGAGUCCGGGAGAGGUGAGUGGAACUGCGAGUGUAGAGGUGAAAUUCGUAGAUAUUCGCAAGAACACCAGUGGCGAAGGCGGCUCACUGGCCCGGUACUGACGCUGAGGUGCGAAAGCGUGGGGAGCAACAGGG
RNAcentral lists this ribosomal RNA (253 nucleotides) under uncultured bacterium. RNAcentral describes it as "partial 16S ribosomal RNA". It matches the Rfam family "Bacterial small subunit ribosomal RNA", at positions 524 to 776 of the family's 1533-position model. The record is from RNAcentral.